RNAcentral lists this ribosomal RNA (322 nucleotides) under uncultured eukaryote. Its description in RNAcentral is "partial 18S ribosomal RNA". It matches the Rfam family "Eukaryotic small subunit ribosomal RNA", at positions 1470 to 1796 of the family's 1831-position model. The record is from RNAcentral.
CCCUUAGAUGUUCUGGGCCGCACGCGUGCUACACUGAGUAAUUCAAUGGGUAAGGGAACGCUAGAGCAUUACCUAAUCUUGAAAUUUGCUCGUGAUGGGGAUCGACGGUUGCAAUUUUCCGUCGUGAACGAGGAACACCUUGUAGGCGCAUGUCAUCAUCAUGCGCCGAAUACGUCCCUGCCCUUUGUACACACCGCCCGUCGCUCCUACCGAUUGAGUGAUCCGGUGAGGCUCUGAGACCUGGACGGAAAGAGCGUUUCGCUUGUUCUGUUUGGGAAACUUGGUCGAACCUUAUCAUUUAGAGGAAGGAGAAGUCGUAACA